GCGCGUGUAGCUCAGUGGUAGAGCAUGUCUCUUAUAAAGACAAGGUCGCAGGCUCAAUCCCUGCCACGCGCACUA
RNAcentral lists this transfer RNA (75 nucleotides) under bacterium (Candidatus Gribaldobacteria) CG08_land_8_20_14_0_20_39_15. RNAcentral describes it as "tRNA-Ile". It matches the Rfam family "tRNA". From Rfam's summary of the family: Transfer RNA (tRNA) molecules are approximately 80 nucleotides in length. The record is from RNAcentral. Lineage: Bacteria; Candidatus Gribaldobacteria.